Molecule: transfer RNA, 67 nt
Filed under: Perkinsus olseni
Lineage: Eukaryota; Perkinsozoa; Perkinsida; Perkinsidae
Description: tRNA-Thr
Rfam family: tRNA
About the family: Transfer RNA (tRNA) molecules are approximately 80 nucleotides in length. Their secondary structure includes four short double-helical elements and three loops (D, anti-codon, and T loops).
Source: RNAcentral
UUCUUAGCUUAGUUGGUAGAGCACCCGCUUAGUAAGCGGGAGGUCGUCGGUUCAACUCCGGCAGAAG